RNAcentral lists this ribosomal RNA (365 nucleotides) under uncultured eukaryote. RNAcentral describes it as "partial 18S ribosomal RNA". It matches the Rfam family "Eukaryotic small subunit ribosomal RNA", at positions 1470 to 1796 of the family's 1831-position model. The record is from RNAcentral.
CCCUUAGAUACCCCCGGCCGCACGCGUGCUACAAUGGACACGUCAACAAGUUCCAGCUGUUCUGUGUGGUGUAUUAGUGUUCGCACUCGCCGCGUAUUUUUGAAGGAAUGGCUAAUCUUUGAACCGUGCCCAAGGUUGGGAUCGCGGAGUGCAAUUCUUCCGCGUGAACAAGGAAUGUUUCGUAGACGCGAGUCAUCAACUCGCAUCGAUUACGUCCCUGCCCUUUGUACACACCGCCCGUCGCUACUACCGAUUGAAUGAUUUAGUGAGGACUUCGGACUGGGACCGAUGCGGCUUUCGGGCUGCGUCGGUAUUCUGGAAAGAUGUCCAAACUGUAUCAUUUAGAGGAAGUAAAAGUCGUAACA